AAUCCAUAGGUUAAUGAGGCGAACCGGGGGAACUGAAACAUCUAAGUACCCCGAGGAAAAGAAAUCAACCGAGAUUCCCCCAGUAGCGGCGAGCGAACGGGGAGGAGCCCAGAGCCUGAAUCAGCAUAUGUGUUAGUGGAAGCGUCUGGAAAGGCGCGCGAUACAGGGUGACAGCCCCGUACACAAAAGCGCAUGUGCUGUGAGCUCGAUGAGUAGGGCGGGACACGUGGUAUCCUGUCUGAAUAUGGGGGGACCAUCCUCCAAGGCUAAAUACUCCUGACUGACCGAUAGUGAACCAGUACCGUGAGGGAAAGGCGAAAAGAACCCCGGCGAGGGGAGUGAAAAAGAACCUGAAACCGUGUACGUACAAGCAGUGGGAGCACAGGUUUACCUGUGUGACUGCGUACCUUUUGUAUAAUGGGUCAGCGACUUAUAUUCUGUAGCAAGGUUAACCGUAUAGGGGAGCCGGAGGGAAACCGAGUCUUAACCGGGCGUUAAGUUGCAGGGUAUAGACCCGAAACCCGGUGAUCUAGCCAUGGGCAGGUUGAAGGUUGGGUAACACUAACUGGAGGACCGAACCGACUAAUGUUGAAAAAUUAGCGGAUGACCUGUGGCUGGGGGUGAAAGGCCAAUCAAACCGGGAGAUAGCUGGUUCUCCCCGAAAGCUAUUUAGGUAGCGCCUCGUGAAUUCAUCUCCGGGGGUAGAGCACUGUUUCGGCUAGGGGGCCAUCCCGGCUUACCAACCCGAUGCAAACUGCGAAUACCGGAGAAUGUUAUCACGGGAGACACACGGCGGGUGCUAACGUCCGUCGUGAAGAGGGAAACAACCCAGACCGCCAGCUAAGGUCCCAAAGUCAUGGUUAAGUGGGAAACGAUGUGGGAAGGCCCAGACAGCCAGGAUGUUGGCUUAGAAGCAGCCAUCAUUUAAAGAAAGCGUAAUAGCUCACUGGUCGAGUCGGCCUGCGCGGAAGAUGUAACGGGGCUAAACCAUGC
RNAcentral lists this ribosomal RNA (993 nucleotides) under Salmonella enterica subsp. enterica serovar Napoli. RNAcentral describes it as "partial 23S ribosomal RNA". It matches the Rfam family "Bacterial large subunit ribosomal RNA", at positions 161 to 1192 of the family's 2925-position model. The record is from RNAcentral. Lineage: Bacteria; Pseudomonadati; Pseudomonadota; Gammaproteobacteria; Enterobacterales; Enterobacteriaceae.